Molecule: ribosomal RNA, 253 nt
Filed under: uncultured bacterium
Lineage: Bacteria
Description: partial 16S ribosomal RNA
Rfam family: Bacterial small subunit ribosomal RNA
Source: RNAcentral
UACGUAGGUGGCAAGCGUUAUCCGGAAUUACUGGGCGUAAAGCGCACGCAGGCGGUCUUGUAAGUUUGACGUGAAAGCUCCCGGCUUAACUGGGAGAGGUCGUUGAAGACUGCAAGACUUGAGGAAAUGAGAGGGGUGUAGAAUUCCUGGUGUAGUGGCGGAAUGCGUAGAUAUCAGGAGGAAUACCAGUGGCGAAAGCGGCACCCUAGCAUUUUUCUGACGCUCAUGUGCGAAAGCGUGGGGAGCGAACGGG